This 119-nucleotide ribosomal RNA is filed under the name Pteropus alecto (black flying fox). The record is from RNAcentral. Lineage: Eukaryota; Metazoa; Chordata; Mammalia; Chiroptera; Pteropodidae.
GCUUAUGGCCAUGCUACCCUGAACGCGCCCAAUCUUGUUUGAUCUCAGAAGCUAAACAGGGUCGGGCUUGGUUAGUACUUGGAUGGGAGACCGCCUAGGAAGACCAGGUGCUAUAGGAG